UACGAAGGGGGCUAGCGUUGCUCGGAAUCACUGGGCGUAAAGCGCGCGCAGGCGGCUAUCCAAGUCAGUGGUGAAAGCCCGGAGCUCAACUCCGGAACUGCCAUUGAAACUGUUUAGCUUGAGGACGAGAGAGGUGAGUGGAAUUCCCAGUGUAGAGGUGAAAUUCGUAGAUAUUGGGAAGAACACCGGUGGCGAAGGCGGCUCACUGGCUCGUAUCUGACGCUCAGGCGCGACAGCGUGGGGGAUCAAACGAGA
RNAcentral lists this ribosomal RNA (255 nucleotides) under uncultured bacterium. Its description in RNAcentral is "partial 16S ribosomal RNA". It matches the Rfam family "Bacterial small subunit ribosomal RNA", at positions 524 to 777 of the family's 1533-position model. The record is from RNAcentral.